AUGGCGCUGCGGGAGGGGCGCGGGCGUGCGCCGGGAAACUCCGAUCCAGGGCGGCUGGCAACGUCCCGCAGCCGGACCCGAACUAAUCCUGUGGAGGCCGACGGCUCGGAGGGCCGGGCCGCCCGGCGGGCAUCCUCCCCGGGCAGCGCAGCCCCCCGCACGACGGCUCCCCGGGCGCGGAGGGGGCGCGGGGGGCGCGGAGCUAGCGGCGCGGCGGCGGCAGCAGGACAAAGGAGACCAUGUGCGGGGACGGGCAGCGGCUCCGCGCAGCCUCGGGGCACAACCGCGGACCCCCGGCGGUGGCGGGCGGCGACUCCGGGGGGGGGUGCCCGGCCCCGCUGUCAGCACCCAGCUACCACCACCGGCAGGCAAGGUGCUCCUCAGCACCGCCGAUUUUCCUCAAGCACCGCACGCCAUCGGCAGCAGCUGCCGCAGAAAGUAAAGGUGCCAGUACGGUACGUUAUGGCACAAGUGAUUGCUCGCUGGAGCACGGCAGCCGGAGCCAAAAGAUGUCUCCCAUAAAGCAUGCUGAUGCGGAGAUGAGAGGCGGUUAUGCUCGUUGGCACAGUACCUCUAUUUGUGAUGGUUCCUGGGAAAUGGAGAGGUGCUAACAUAGGCCCAGUGUGGGUUCUCAGUGUUUUCGCCGUUGGUUCCAAACCAACACUGGGCUAAGAGUGCUAAUGGAGUCAAAUAGCAACAAGCUCCAUUUGGGUUGGAGCUAAAUCCUCCGCAGUAGGGUUUGGGGACAAACCCCACCACCCCAGUGGCUGGGAGCACAAGGUUGGCCUCACCGGAGCCAGGUGAAGCACAGUGGGCACCCGAGAGAAGCCUGGGCAGGCACACGUCACAUCCUCGGCCAGCUGCAAGAAUUAUUGCAUGGUGCCUCCAAGAUCUGUGCCCGAGGUGAGCUACAUUGGCCUGCAAUGGUUUCUGCUGGGGCAACUGCACAGGAAGACCUGUGAUGGGAAUGACAAUGGGGAUGAACGCAGCCCCAACAGCCCCAAAUUCAGGCCGUGGCUGCAGACACUACGGCGCUUUCGGUGUGUGUCCCCAUCAGGAGUGGGAGCACCUCAGUAAAACUGACAAACCUUCACCAGAAAAUUAAAAACUCAUGGCUGAAUUUAGAUCUUGGCUAUAGCAAUGGAAAUGUUUUUUUCAAAGCUGUCCACCUUAGCAGGGUUAUCCCUGGAUUUCUAUAAUCUCAGCAUGGACUUUGGCUGUUAACUUUACAGGUUUCUGCAUCUCCUACUAGGGGUACACGGCAGCAAGGGGUCUUGUGCCAUCAGCGAGGUGACUGCCAUCUCUCCUCCAGAAAUACAACGGAUCCCACUUUCUAGAACAGACAGUGGCCAGUGGCCAGAAGGCAUCGCAGUCGAUCAGCUAUUUCAUGAGCUCAGAGAAGGAAAUGGAUGGCUUGAGUGCAGCUUUCAGUCUCCACCAAAAAUAAAUAAAUGAACGCGUUUGAACAGCGUAAGUGUUCCCUGCGCAACAACCAGAGGAGCCGGGGACUGCAUGGAUCCCAAGACUACCGGGCAGGGAAUUAAAUGUGUAAUAUUAAGGUGUGGCAGCUCGUCUCUUCUAUGAGCUCUUUGGUCAAGACUUUCUACAUCUCAGCACUGGUAAGGACUGGUCUAAUUAAAGCCAAGACUCCUCACAAGACUUUAAUUUAUCAAAUUUUGCCUGGAUUAAACUACAGGCUUGUCUGUACUGGAUUUUACAAACAUUAACCACAUGCCACACCUGAAAUCUCAGCAUACACAAAACUGAAAUGCAUUUACCUCCUCCUCUCCCUGGGGCUGUUAAGGUUUAUUGGCAGGGCUGUGGGCCUCAUUAUGUUCAUUAUUUGUGUCUUAGAGAUAAGUAGAGGACCUCUAUUUUCCUGCUAGAACAUUAAACAUGCAUGAAAUGCAUUCUGUAAUUCGGAAUGAGAAGUUUGGAGUUUAGGAAUUCACCCAAAGCCAAAUUAAAUCAAAGGGAGAAAAAAAAAGCAACACCACCUCCUAAUGAUUUCAAUGGCCUUUGGAUGAAGCUUCCCUCUCUCUUGACAGCAGUACUUUCCCGUGUUUUAGGAUAUGCCUGGAUAGGUUUUUGAAAUCUUCUAUGUCUUAUCUACGUGGGACCUUGCCAGAUUUUUUUUUCAUCUGUCUGUGGUCUCUGUCAGUGUCGACAUUUGUUUCUGCCACAACAACAGCCAAAUGAAGUGCAUUGAACUUGGAUCAAAAGUGAUUUCAAGAUCUUUCACUCUCUGAAAGAGGCUUUCAGAUCCAAACAUUUUAUGAAAAUGACCUAAAGCCACCGAGACAGCAGGCAGGGAAGCAGACAUUUGUUUCCAAGCCAUGCACUAAUUCCAAAGAAGAAUUACCCAUCUUUGGCACAGUGAGUAAAUGAAUAUUGAAAUUACAGCAGAUUAUAUUGGAUUAAAUUAUUUAUGGCAAACCUCACCUCACCUGGAAGGUUCUGCAGCUUUUUCCUGGCAACGUGAAAACUGGAUAUUCCAAUACUUUGGUAUUCUGUGAAAGGCUGGAAACAUUUAUGUUUCCAAUAAGUUGCUAAUCUUUCCAGAAGACAUGAUGGUGUCUGAGUUUAGAGCGUGAUUGUGAUACCUUAUAAAGUCCUCCAUCAUGCUCUGAAAACACACAUGAUUUUGUACAUUUCUGGAUAGGAGACGCAGGUUCUUUUCCACAAGAAAAGAAUUUAUGGAGCUAUCAGCAGCUUUUUAUGGCUUUGAACAGCAAGCGACAGCAUCAUGUCCCAACCAGAAAGUAUUUAAAGUCCAAUGCUUUAAAGAGGUUCAAGAAAAGGACCCGUUCUCAUGAGCUACCUAAACAGCCAUUACGACAAACAAAAUUAUGCCAUAAAUGCAGCAACAGAUGUCAGCAAAAAUAGAUUGUGGUGCAGCCAGGUCGGCACUGCUCUCAGCCCCGAGGUGAGCGCCUGGCAUAGCCAGCGGCUCUUGGCAGCGAUGAACAUGAUGCUUUCCGGAUAGUCCCUCUUAGCUGAGCAUGCACGCUCAUGCUUUCUGCUAGGGGAAGGCAGGAGAAAAGGUCGUACAGAGAGUACCUGCAGUACUUCGAAGGAAACAGAGCUAUUGGGCCAUAUAACAUCACUGGCGUGAGUUCCCAGUGUAAGUACAGCUUUUUAUUUGACAAAGCAGAAAACUUUUGUGAGAGCGUAUUAAUGACAGUGCAACUUUUUUAUUAUUUUUAUUUUUCUGCAGCAUUUGCAAAACUAAAACACUUUGUAAUCCCUUCUUUUAUGCAGAACAGAUUGCAGUUUUAAGCAGAGGCCCAUAAACUGCAGGUUCAAAGAAACCUGAAACUGAAUUAGCAUAAAAGCUGGAAUUCUCAUUUAAUAGGAACAGCAAGGCAACUGCUCUGCAGGCAGUUUUAUGAUUUUGGUUUCAAAUGGAAACAAAGAUAAAAAGUGGGGCUCAGGGAACAAUAGGGCUGCUCUCUCUUCUGUGUAUGGGCCUGGCCCUAUAAAAUACUGAGUGGCCUUCACUGUUUCCCAGGACAAAAUUCAGCCCGUUUUUCACACCUAGAGCAGGUUGGAUGGUUUUCUGAAGCCAUUCAUGUACAGAAGAGAAAUCUUCCCUAUCCUGUGAGUGCCAAGGCAUUUCUCCACCAAGCUUCUCCAAACAACACAAGGCCUUUGAGGUGUACAACAGUCAUCUUUCUUCCCUUUCGCCAACAAUGAAGAGCGAGAAAUCCACAGACUGACUUCAAGCUAUAACUUCUCGAUCAGAAAAUAUAAGCAUUUUAUCUGUUCUUCCAUAUACCUUCCAGGGAUGUGAACUCUGAGCUACUGAACAGAUUCUGGAGCACUAUUUAGUUGGAUUUAGCUGCUAGAGACCUUGCUUGACUCGUAAGCUGCUACCUACACUCCAUAGUCUAAGCAGGAACAUUUGUAAGAUCCUAUCACAAAAUAAGAGGAUAAACUAUAAAUUCUUCCCCAUCCACUAGCGCUCCUGUGAGUACACUUCAUAAAUGCACCACUUUUCAGCUGUGGCCAUUAUCUUCCCCUAAUUUCUGCCGGCUAGUAGAUUCUGGAACUGAAGAAGUAUUUCAAAUUAAUUUGUCUGUCAAUAUCUAUGUACUGAAUCAACUAAUAAGAGAGAAGUAUUUUUCAUUCUCUUCUCAGUCAGAGGAAGAGACUUUCUUAUCACUGAAUAAAGCAUCCAUUAUUGUGUGCUGUAAUCCCAUUCUGUCUUUCAGGUCAUUUUUAGCCCAGGAAAUGCUGAAUCAGCACCAGAAACCAAUCAAGUAAUUUCUUUCAUUUUCUAACAUUCAAGCAAAAUAAUGAAAAUCACAGCUCAUUUGAUGAGGAGAAUAUACAACAGAAAGCUAUUCUUCCAAGGAUAAUUUUAAAAAAGGUAUGCCCAGCAAGGAAAUAU
Molecule: long non-coding RNA, 4393 nt
Filed under: Cairina moschata (Muscovy duck)
Lineage: Eukaryota; Metazoa; Chordata; Aves; Anseriformes; Anatidae
Description: domestica (muscovy Duck (domestic type)) lncRNA (ENSCMMG00000005879.1)
Source: RNAcentral